This 64-nucleotide transfer RNA is filed under the name Platygaster sp. ZJUH_2016026. Its description in RNAcentral is "tRNA-Gly". Lineage: Eukaryota; Metazoa; Arthropoda; Insecta; Hymenoptera; Platygastridae. The record is from RNAcentral.
AAUUAUAUAAUAUAAAUAAUAUAUUUAAUUUCCAAUUAAAAAAUUUAAUAAAUUAAUGUAAUUA